ACCUUCUGUGGUGUAGUUGGUAGCACCUUGACUUAAGAAGUCCUAGGUUCAAGUCCCAGUUGGGAUA
Non-coding RNA from Halocaridina rubra (Hawaiian volcano shrimp), 67 nucleotides. Lineage: Eukaryota; Metazoa; Arthropoda; Malacostraca; Decapoda; Atyidae. The record is from the annotation of a GenBank genome assembly.